AGUACACAAGUCAAUUGUUGGUGCGAUAGAUAUUUUUUGAUGGUGUGGCUCAAGGAUACCACCGCAUCAUCAUAUCCUCGUUCACAAAUCACCACCAAAUGGAAAAAGAACCAGCACCAAUCACACCUUUAAAUUUUAUUUAAGAAUAUAAUAAUAUGAUAUAUUUCACACAAUAAAAUGCACUUCCAUCUCUCCCCAAAAUUGAGCUUCUUCCCCGCAAAGAUGAGCCUUCUUCCCCCCAAAAUUUUCAGCCCAAAUUUUCAGCAAAACAAAUCGAUCUCUUCCUGAACGCCAUUUUUACUCUGUUCUUCAUCACUCAAUACACACCCGUUUCUCCUCUCCCCUCGAACCCUAACCAACCGGCGGCAACCUCUACCCCACACGAAAACCCUAAUUACUAACCGGCGGCAACCAUUUCCUCACCUGCGAAAACCCUAAUUACCUAACCGGAGAAAACCCCAAUCACCUAACCUACGGCUACAAACCCUAAUCGGAGUGUAAUAGGAGGAGGAGGUUGUUGUUAUACCUUUUCACUUGAGCUUGAACCGAGACAUAAAUAGAUUUUACGCGAACGCAACCGACCUUACCGGUCAAAAUGAUAUUGGUGGUGAACAAGUUACUUCUGUGCUUGAAGAAAUGGCGAAUCUUAUUUGCUCGGUUUAAUCGGACGACAAGCGAGCAGGCGUGGCGGUGGUGCGGUGAUACAAGCUUCUCAAGAAUGGUUGGCAUAUGAAAAGCGGUGAAUCUGUGAAUUAUUUAGUAUUAAUACUUGUUUAUCUUUUGUUUAAUCUUUUAUGCCUGAAGCCAUAAACUUGAAUAAAAAAUGUUUAAUUCAAUUACACUGACUGUUUAUUUAAAGUUUAUCGAGUUUGAGAGAUUCAGUUACAUUAACUAUCUGUUUGUUUGGUUUUUUUUUUUUUUUUUCAUUUCAGUAUGCUUCUUUGUUCUUUACUUCAUCUUAAUAGCAAAAAGAUUGACGUUGAUGUUGUUGCAUUUUGUUUCAGGAUGAUCCGAAAGUGGUUGCUCUCGAGUUUGAUAAUUUAUGCAGCUAGCUGAAACCGUGUAGAUAUUAUCCCAAAGUGUAUUAGCACUAUUGGUUUUGGUAAUAUCACGUUAUGUUUUGUUAGGCGUUUUUCUACGGAUCGGGUUACAAGGCUUGAAGAGGUCGGUUUGGGUUGCAAGGCUUGAAGAGGUUGGAUCGGGUUCAUUUUCGAAAAACAUGUACUUUAAGGAAUCUUGUCAAAUAUUAGUUAUAAUUUGUUUGUUUGUUAUUUUUAUUUUAAGACAUUAUUUGUGUAUUGAAGUUAUUAAUUGGGAAAUUUAAUGGAUUUUUUUUCUGAAAUUUUACAGAAUUUAGAGAUAUAUAUAUUUGAAAAAAAAGCUGAUGUUUGUUGAAA
This is a long non-coding RNA of Helianthus annuus (common sunflower), 1397 nucleotides long. RefSeq lists it as uncharacterized. The record is from RefSeq and is a predicted model, not a curated record. Lineage: Eukaryota; Viridiplantae; Streptophyta; Magnoliopsida; Asterales; Asteraceae. The transcript has 4 exons.